RNAcentral lists this ribosomal RNA (400 nucleotides) under uncultured bacterium. Its description in RNAcentral is "bacterial SSU rRNA". It matches the Rfam family "Bacterial small subunit ribosomal RNA", at positions 30 to 416 of the family's 1533-position model. The record is from RNAcentral.
AGUGAACGCUGGCGGCAGGCCUAACACAUGCAAGUCGAGCGGCAGCGCGUCCGACCACCCUCGGGUGGUCGGAUGGCGGCGAGCGGCGGACGGGUGAGGAAUGCAUCGGAAUCUGCCUCGUUGUGGGGGAUAACGUAGGGAAACUUACGCUAAUACCGCAUACGACCUACGGGUGAAAGUGGGGGACCUUCGGGCCUCACGCGAUGAGAUGAGCCGAUGCCGGAUUAGCUAGUUGGCGGGGUAAAGGCCCACCAAGGCGACGAUCUGUAGCGGGUCUGAGAGGAUGAUCCGCCACACUGGGACUGAGACACGGCCCAGACUCCUACGGGAGGCAGCAGUGGGGAAUUUUGGACAAUGGGCGCAAGCCUGAUCCAGCCAUGCCGCGUGCGGGACGAAGGCC